RNAcentral lists this ribosomal RNA (492 nucleotides) under uncultured bacterium. RNAcentral describes it as "partial 16S ribosomal RNA". It matches the Rfam family "Bacterial small subunit ribosomal RNA", at positions 28 to 507 of the family's 1533-position model. The record is from RNAcentral.
GAUGAACGCUAGCUACAGGCUUAACACAUGCAAGUCGAGGGGAAACGACAUCGAAAGCUUGCUUUUGAUGGGCGUCGACCGGCGCACGGGUGAGUAACGCGUAUCCAACCUGCCCAUCACUUGGGAAUAACCUUGCGAAAGUAAGACUAAUACCCAAUGACAUCCCACGAAGACAUCUGAAUGGGAUUAAAGAUUUAUCGGUGAUGGAUGGGGAUGCGUCUGAUUAGCUUGUUGGCGGUGUAACGGCCCACCAAGGCAACGAUCAGUAGGGGUUCUGAGAGGAAGGUCCCCCACAUUGGAACUGAGACACGGUCCAAACUCCUACGGGAGGCAGCAGUGAGGAAUAUUGGUCAAUGGGCGAGAGCCUGAACCAGCCAAGUAGCGUGCAGGAUGACGGCCCUAUGGGUUGUAAACUGCUUUUAUAAGGGAAUAAAGUGGGUCUCGUGAGACUUUUUGCAUGUACCUGAUGAAUAAGGACCGGCUAAUUCCGUG